GAAAGCGUAAUAGCUCACUGGUCGAGUCGGCCUGCGCGGAAGAUGUAACGGGGCUAAACCAUGCACCGAAGCUGCGGCAGCGACACUGAUGUGUUGUUGGGUAGGGGAGCGUUCUGUAAGCCUGUGAAGGUGGCCUGUGAGGGUUGCUGGAGGUAUCAGAAGUGCGAAUGCUGACAUAAGUAACGAUAAAGCGGGUGAAAAGCCCGCUCGCCGGAAGACCAAGGGUUCCUGUCCAACGUUAAUCGGGGCAGGGUGAGUCGACCCCUAAGGCGAGGCCGAAAGGCGUAGUCGAUGGGAAACGGGUUAAUAUUCCCGUACUUGGUGUUACUGCGAAGGGGGGACGGAGAAGGCUAUGUUGGCCGGGCGACGGUUGUCCCGGUUUAAGCGUGUAGGUGUGUGUUCCAGGUAAAUCCGGUUCACUUUAACACUGAGGCGUGACGACGAGGCACUACGGUGCUGAAGCAACAAAUGCCCUGCUUCCAGGAAAAGCCUCUAAGCAUCAGGUAACAUCAAAUCGUACCCCAAACCGACACAGGUGGUCAGGUAGAGAAUACCAAGGCGCUUGAGAGAACUCGGGUGAAGGAACUAGGCAAAAUGGUGCCGUAACUUCGGGAGAAGGCACGCUGACACGUAGGUGAAGUGAUUUACUCAUGGAGCUGAAGUCAGUCGAAGAUACCAGCUGGCUGCAACUGUUUAUUAAAAACACAGCACUGUGCAAACACGAAAGUGGACGUAUACGGUGUGACGCCUGCCCGGUGCCGGAAGGUUAAUUGAUGGGGUCAGCGCAAGCGAAGCUCCUGAUCGAAGCCCCGGUAAACGGCGGCCGUAACUAUAACGGUCCUAAGGUAGCGAAAUUCCUUGUCGGGUAAGUUCCGACCUGCACGAAUGGCGUAAUGAUGGCCAGGCUGUCUCCACCCGAGACUCAGUGAAAUUGAACUCGCUGUGAAGAUGCAGUGUACCCGCGGCAAGACGGAAAGACCCCGUGAACCUUUACUAUAGCUUGACACUGAACAUUGAGCCUUGAUGUGUAGGAUAGGUGGGAGGCUUUGAAGUGUGGACGCCAGUCUGCAUGGAGCCGACCUUGAAAUACCACCCUUUAAUGUUUGAUGUUCUAACGUGGACCCGUUACCCGGGUUGCGGACAGUGUCUGGUGGGUAGUUUGACUGGGGCGGUCUCCUCCUAAAGAGUAACGGAGGAGCACGAAGGUUGGCUAAUCCUGGUCGGACAUCAGGAGGUUAGUGCAAUGGCAUAAGCCAGCUUGACUGCGAGCGUGACGGCGCGAGCAGGUGCGAAAGCAGGUCAUAGUGAUCCGGUGGUUCUGAAUGGAAGGGCCAUCGCUCAACGGAUAAAAGGUACUCCGGGGAUAACAGGCUGAUACCGCCCAAGAGUUCAUAUCGACGGCGGUGUUUGGCACCUCGAUGUCGGCUCAUCACAUCCUGGGGCUGAAGUAGGUCCCAAGGGUAUGGCUGUUCGCCAUUUAAAGUGGUACGCGAGCUGGGUUUAGAACGUCGUGAGACAGUUCGGUCCCUAUCUGCCGUGGGCGCUGGAGAACUGAGGGGGGCUGCUCCUAGUACGAGAGGACCGGAGUGGACGCAUCACUGGUGUUCGGGUUGUCAUGCCAAUGGCACUGCCCGGUAGCUAAAUGCGGAAGAGAUAAGUGCUGAAAGCAUCUAAGCACGAAACUUGCCCCGAGAUGAGUUCUCCCUGAGACUUAGAGUCUCCUGAAGGAACGUUGAAGACGACGACGUUGAUAGGCCGGGUGUGUAAGCGCAGCGAUGCGUUGAGCUAACCGGUACUAAUGAACCGUGAGGCUUAACC
This 1818-nucleotide ribosomal RNA is filed under the name Salmonella enterica subsp. enterica serovar Mbandaka. RNAcentral describes it as "bacterial LSU rRNA". It matches the Rfam family "Bacterial large subunit ribosomal RNA", at positions 1128 to 2925 of the family's 2925-position model. The record is from RNAcentral. Lineage: Bacteria; Pseudomonadati; Pseudomonadota; Gammaproteobacteria; Enterobacterales; Enterobacteriaceae.